RNAcentral lists this unclassified non-coding RNA (285 nucleotides) under Hevea brasiliensis (rubber tree). The record is from RNAcentral. Lineage: Eukaryota; Viridiplantae; Streptophyta; Magnoliopsida; Malpighiales; Euphorbiaceae.
GGUAGUGAUAAUUUCUAUUUUUUCUUGAGUAAACUUCAGUUAAGUAAUUGUCUCGAGUAUUUGUAAGAUGUAGGUAAACUUUUUUACACUGAUCUGAUUGUGCAAGUAUAUACUUUAAGAUGUUUAUUGGACUUUAGUUGUUUCUCCUUAGAAAAUCUCCCUGACUUUAUUUUCUGACAUACCAACGGUGGGUUGCUAAUGGGGUGUGCGGUUCCAGUUCAGGUUCAAUUCUUUGCAAGAACCGGAAUUGAAACCGGAACUGAACUUCGGUUCUUUCAUUUUCUU